GGUUAAGCGACUAAGCGUACACGGUGGAUGCCCUGGCAGUCAGAGGCGAUGAAGGACGUGCUAAUCUGCGAUAAGCGUCGGUAAGGUGAUAUGAACCGUUAUAACCGGCGAUUUCCGAAUGGGGAAACCCAGUGUGAUUCGUCACACUAUCAUUACGUGAAUACAUAGCGUAAUGAAGCGAACCGGGGGAACUGAAACAUCUAAGUACCCCGAGGAAAAGAAAUCAACCGAGAUUCCCCCAGUAGCGGCGAGCGAACGGGGAGCAGCCCAGAGUCUGAAUCAGCUUGUGUGUUAGUGGAACGGUCUGGAAAGUCCGACGGUACAGGGUGAUAGUCCCGUACACCAAAAUGCACAGGUUGUGAACUCGAAGAGUAGGGCGGGACACGUGGUAUCCUGUCUGAAUAUGGGGGGACCAUCCUCCAAGGCUAAAUACUCCUGACUGACCGAUAGUGAACCAGUACCGUGAGGGAAAGGCGAAAAGAACCCCGGCGAGGGGAGUGAAAAAGAACCUGAAACCGUGUACGUACAAGCAGUGGGAGCAUCCUUUUGGGUGUGACUGCGUACCUUUUGUAUAAUGGGUCAGCGACUUAUAUUCUGUAGCAAGGUUAACCGUAUAGGGGAGCCGAAGGGAAACCGAGUCUUAACUGGGCGUUAAGUUGCAGGGUAUAGACCCGAAACCCGGUGAUCUAGCCAUGGGCAGGUUGAAGGUUGGGUAACACUAACUGGAGGACCGAACCGACUAAUGUUGAAAAAUUAGCGGAUGACUUGUGGCUGGGGGUGAAAGGCCAAUCAAACCGGGAGAUAGCUGGUUCUCCCCGAAAGCUAUUUAGGUAGCGCCUCGUGAACUCAUCUUCGGGGGUAGAGCACUGUUUCGGCUAGGGGGUCAUCCCGACUUACCAACCCGAUGCAAACUGCGAAUACCGAAGAAUGUUAUCACGGGAGACACACGGCGGGUGCUAACGUCCGUCGUGAAGAGGGAAACAACCCAGACCGCCAGCUAAGGUCCCAAAGUCAUGGUUAAGUGGGAAACGAUGUGGGAAGGCACAGACAGCCAGGAUGUUGGCUUAGAAGCAGCCAUCAUUUAAAGAAAGCGUAAUAGCUCACUGGUCGAGUCGGCCUGCGCGGAAGAUGUAACGGGGCUAAACCAUGCACCGAAGCUGCGGCAGCGACACUAUGUGUUGUUGGGUAGGGGAGCGUUCUGUAAGCCGUUGAAGGUGUAUCGUGAGGUAUGCUGGAGGUAUCAGAAGUGCGAAUGCUGACAUAAGUAACGAUAAUGCGGGUGAAAAACCCGCACGCCGGAAGACCAAGGGUUCCUGUCCAACGUUAAUCGGGGCAGGGUGAGUCGACCCCUAAGGCGAGGCCGAAAGGCGUAGUCGAUGGGAAACAGGUUAAUAUUCCUGUACUUGGUGUUACUGCGAAGGGGGGACGGAGAAGGCUAUGUUAGCCGGGCGACGGUUGUCCCGGUUUAAGCAUGUAGGCGGAGGUUCCAGGUAAAUCCGGUACCUUUUUAACGCUGAGGUGUGAUGACGAGGCACUACGGUGCUGAAGUAACAAAUGCCCUGCUUCCAGGAAAAGCCUCUAAGCAUCAGGUAACACGAAAUCGUACCCCAAACCGACACAGGUGGUCAGGUAGAGAAUACCAAGGCGCUUGAGAGAACUCGGGUGAAGGAACUAGGCAAAAUGGUGCCGUAACUUCGGGAGAAGGCACGCUGAUAUGUAGGUGAAGUGAUUUACUCAUGGAGCUGAAAUCAGUCGAAGAUACCAGCUGGCUGCAACUGUUUAUUAAAAACACAGCACUGUGCAAACACGAAAGUGGACGUAUACGGUGUGACGCCUGCCCGGUGCCGGAAGGUUAAUUGAUGGGGUUAUCCGUAAGGAGAAGCUCUUGAUCGAAGCCCCGGUAAACGGCGGCCGUAACUAUAACGGUCCUAAGGUAGCGAAAUUCCUUGUCGGGUAAGUUCCGACCUGCACGAAUGGCGUAAUGAUGGCCAGGCUGUCUCCACCCGAGACUCAGUGAAAUUGAACUCGCUGUGAAGAUGCAGUGUACCCGCGGCAAGACGGAAAGACCCCGUGAACCUUUACUAUAGCUUGACACUGAACACUGGUCCUUGAUGUGUAGGAUAGGUGGGAGGCUUUGAAGUGUGGACGCCAGUCUGCAUGGAGCCAUCCUUGAAAUACCACCCUUUAAUGGCUGGUGUUCUAACGUGGACCCGUUACCCGGGUUGCGGACAGUGUCUGGUGGGUAGUUUGACUGGGGCGGUCUCCUCCUAAAGAGUAACGGAGGAGCACGAAGGUUAGCUAAUCCUGGUCGGACAUCAGGAGGUUAGUGCAAAGGCAUAAGCUAGCUUGACUGCGAGAGUGACGGCUCGAGCAGGUGCGAAAGCAGGUCUUAGUGAUCCGGUGGUUCUGAAUGGAAGGGCCAUCGCUCAACGGAUAAAAGGUACUCCGGGGAUAACAGGCUGAUACCGCCCAAGAGUUCAUAUCGACGGCGGUGUUUGGCACCUCGAUGUCGGCUCAUCACAUCCUGGGGCUGAAGUAGGUCCCAAGGGUAUGGCUGUUCGCCAUUUAAAGUGGUACGCGAGCUGGGUUUAGAACGUCGUGAGACAGUUCGGUCCCUAUCUGCCGUGGGCGCUGGAGAAUUGAGGGGGGCUGCUCCUAGUACGAGAGGACCGGAGUGGACGCAUCACUGGUGUUCGGGUUGUCAUGCCAAUGGCAUUGCCCGGUAGCUAAAUGCGGAAGAGAUAAGUGCUGAAAGCAUCUAAGCACGAAACUUGCCCCGAGAUGAGUUCUCCCUGAGACUAUAAGUCUCCUGAAGGAACGUUAAAGACGAUGACGUUGAUAGGUCGGGUGUGUAAGUGUAGCGAUACAUUGAGCUAACCGAUACUAAUGAACCGUGAGGCUUAACCUU
Molecule: ribosomal RNA, 2908 nt
Filed under: Citrobacter freundii
Lineage: Bacteria; Pseudomonadati; Pseudomonadota; Gammaproteobacteria; Enterobacterales; Enterobacteriaceae
Description: 23S ribosomal RNA
Rfam family: Bacterial large subunit ribosomal RNA
Source: RNAcentral